This 450-nucleotide ribosomal RNA is filed under the name uncultured bacterium. RNAcentral describes it as "partial 16S ribosomal RNA". It matches the Rfam family "Bacterial small subunit ribosomal RNA", at positions 354 to 796 of the family's 1533-position model. The record is from RNAcentral.
GUGGGGAAUAUUGGACAAUGGGCGAAAGCCUGAUCCAGCCAUGCCACGUGUGUGAAGAAGGUCUUCGGAUUGUAAAGCACUUUAAGUUGGGAGGAAGGGUAGUAACCUAAUACGUUGCUACUUUGACGUUACCGACAGAAUAAGCACCGGCUAACUUCGUGCCAGCAGCCGCGGUAAUACGAAGGGUGCAAGCGUUAAUCGGAAUUACUGGGCGUAAAGCGCGCGUAGGUGGUUCAGUAAGUUGGAAGUGAAAUCCCCGGGCUCAACCUGGGAACUGCUUUCAAAACUGCUGAGCUAGAGUACGGUAGAGGGUGGUGGAAUUUCCUGUGUAGCGGUGAAAUGCGUAGAUAUAGGAAGGAACACCAGUGGCGAAGGCGACCACCUGGACUGAUACUGACACUGAGGUGCGAAAGCGUGGGGAGCAAACAGGAUUAGAAACCCCUGUAGUCC